RNAcentral lists this ribosomal RNA (253 nucleotides) under uncultured bacterium. Its description in RNAcentral is "partial 16S ribosomal RNA". It matches the Rfam family "Bacterial small subunit ribosomal RNA", at positions 524 to 776 of the family's 1533-position model. The record is from RNAcentral.
UACGGAGGGGGCUAGCGUUGUUCGGAAUUACUGGGUGUAAAGCGCACGUAGGCGGCUUUGUAAGUUAGAGGUGAAAGCCCAGGGCUUAACCCUGGAAUUGCCUUUAAGACUGCAUCGCUAGAAUCGUGGAGAGGUGAGUGGAAUUCCGAGUGUAGAGGUGAAAUUCGUAGAUAUUCGGAAGAACACCAGUGGCGAAGGCGACUCACUGGACACGUAUUGACGCUGAGGUGCGAAAGCGUGGGGAGCAAACAGG